AUUGUAGUCAUAUGCUUGUCUCAAAGAUUAAGCCAUGCAUGUCUAAGUAUAAGCAAUUAUACCGCGAAACUGCGAAUGGCUCAUUAUAUAAGUUAUCGUUUAUUUGAUAGUACCUUACUACUUGGAUAACCGUGGUAAUUCUAGAGCUAAUACAUGCUAAAAAUCCCGACUUCGGAAGGGAUGUAUUUAUUAGAUUAAAAACCAAUGCCCUUCGGGGCUCACUGGUGAUUCAUGAUAACUCCUCGAAUCGCAUGGCCUUGUGCCGGCGAUGGUUCAUUCAAAUUUCUUCCCUAUCAACUUUCGAUGUUUGGGUAUUGGCCAAACAUGGUUGCAACGGGUAACGG
Molecule: ribosomal RNA, 344 nt
Filed under: fungal sp. CRS5666T18-2
Lineage: Eukaryota; Fungi
Description: SSU rRNA
Rfam family: Eukaryotic small subunit ribosomal RNA
Source: RNAcentral